CACGCCUUAAACGAUGGAUAUUCGGUGUCGGUCCCGCCCGGCCCUUCGAUAAGAAGGGUCGAGCGGGAUCGGUGCCUGAGCUAACGCGUUAAAUAUCCCACCUGGGGAGUACGAUCGCAAGGUUGAAACUCAAAGGAAUUGACGGGGGCCCGCACAAGCAGUGGAGCAUGUGGUUCAAUUCGAUGCAACGCGAAGAACCUUACCUGGGUUUGAAAGGCUCUGUAAACCGGUGAAGGCCGGCUAGCGUAGCAAUACGCGCGGAGUACAGGUGCUGCAUGGCUGUCGUCAGCUCGUGCCGUGAGGUGUUAGGUUAAGUCCUGCAACGAGCGCAACCCUUACACUUAGUUGCCAUCAGGUAAUGCUGGGCACUCUAAGUGGACUGCCUACGCAAGUAGU
This 396-nucleotide ribosomal RNA is filed under the name uncultured bacterium. RNAcentral describes it as "bacterial SSU rRNA". It matches the Rfam family "Bacterial small subunit ribosomal RNA", at positions 796 to 1166 of the family's 1533-position model. The record is from RNAcentral.